RNAcentral lists this ribosomal RNA (371 nucleotides) under uncultured bacterium. Its description in RNAcentral is "bacterial SSU rRNA". It matches the Rfam family "Bacterial small subunit ribosomal RNA", at positions 527 to 896 of the family's 1533-position model. The record is from RNAcentral.
AGAGGUGGCAAGCGUUGUUCGGAAUUACUGGGCGUAAAGGGCGCGUAGGCGGCCCGCCAAGUCCCGUGUGAAAGCCCCCGGCUCAACCGGGGAACGGCGCGGGAAACUAGCAGGCUUGAGUUCGGGAGAGGGAGGCGGAAUUCCGGGUGUAGCGGUGAAAUGCGCAGAUAUCCGGAGGAACACCGGUGGCGAAGGCGGCCUCCUGGACCGACACUGACGCUGAGGCGCGAAAGCUAGGGGAGCAAACGGGAUUAGAUACCCCGGUAGUCCUGGCCCUAAACGAUGAGCACUGGGUGUAGAGGGUAUGAACCCCUUCUGUGCCGAAGCUAACGCAUUAAGUGCUCCGCCUGGGGAGUACGGUCGCAAGGCUG